AUAUAAAAAGUUAUUAAUAAUUUUAGAUUAAGUAUUUAUAAAAUAAGAAUAUUAUAGAUUAAUUAUUAUGUUAAGAAAAAUUAAUUUUAAUUAUAGUUUAUUAGUAUAGUGAUAGAAUUUUUUAAAAUAUUAAAAAGAAAAAAUUAUUUUUUGUAUCUUGUGUAUCAGAGUUAAUUUAUUAAAAAUUAAAAAUUUAAUAUUCUCGAAUUUAAAAGAGUUAAUAGUUUAUAUUUUUUAUUGUAAAAUAAAUAUUAAUAAUAAAUUAUUAGAAAUGAAAUGUUAUUCGAUUUUAAAUAUAUCUAGUUUUUAAAGAAAAAAUUUUAAAUUAUUUAUUUAAUAUUAAAAAUUUAAUUUUUAAAUUUUUUAAUUUAAAUAAAUUAUAUUUUUAGGGAUGAGCUUAAAAAUAAAUUAUUAUAAAUAUUUAAGAAUUUUAAUUUGUAGGAUUAGAAAUUUCUUUCAUUAAAAAAUUGUUAUAAUUUAUUAUAUUAUUUUUAUUAUUUUUAUUUAUUUUAAUUUUUUUAUUUAAAUUUUAAUUUUAAUUUUAAAAAUUUAAUAAUAAUGAUUAAAUUAGUAAAUUUUAAUGUUUAAUUUAUGAUUAAAUAAAGAUUUUAAAUUAAGGAAUUCGGCAAAUAUAAUUUUCACCUGUUUAUUAAAAACAUGGCCUUUAGAUGAUAAUUUAAGGUCUGACCUGCCCACUGAUUAAUUAAAGGGCCGCAGUAUUUUGACUGUGCUAAGGUAGCAUAAUCAUUAGUUUCUUAAUUAGAAGCUGGAAUGAAUGGUUAAAUGAAAAAUUAGCUGUCUCAAUUUAAUUAAAUGAAUUUUAUUUUUAAGUGAAAAAGCUUAAAUAAAUAAAUAAGACGAGAAGACCCUAUAGAGUUUAAUAUUUAUAGAGAAAAAAUAUUUUUGGGAAUUAUAGAUUUUUUUUUAUAUUUAUUUAAUUGGGGUGAUUUAAAAAUUUAAUAAACUUUUUAAUAAUUAAAACAAAAAUUUUUGAAUUUUUGAUCCAUAAUUUAUGAUUAAUAGAGAAAUUACCUUAGGGAUAACAGCGUUAUUUUUUUUGAGAGUUCUAAUCGAAAGAAAAGUUUGCGACCUCGAUGUUGGAUUAAAAUUUAAUUUUGGCGUAGAAGUUAAAAAUUUAGGUCUGUUCGACCUUUAAAAUUUUACAUGAUCUGAGUUUAAACCGGUGUGAGCCAGGUUGGUUUCUAUCUUUUUAUAAAUAAAAUAUUUUAGUACGAAAGGACCAAAUAUUUAAUUUAAAAUUUUAAAUAGAAUAAAAUU
RNAcentral lists this ribosomal RNA (1278 nucleotides) under Macrohyliota sp. 2 MJ-2020. RNAcentral describes it as "16S ribosomal RNA". The stretch from base 1039 to 1197 matches the Rfam family "Archaeal large subunit ribosomal RNA", at positions 2542 to 2701 of the family's 2987-position model. Lineage: Eukaryota; Metazoa; Arthropoda; Insecta; Coleoptera; Silvanidae. The record is from RNAcentral.